UAAUUUGAUGUAAAUUUUGCAAAUAUUUGGAUAUGCUUUUCCUAUAACUAAUUUUUCUUGUAUGAUUGGAUUUAGUUCAAGUUGGGAAGCAGCAGGGGGUUGUGUAAACAUUGAACCAAUACAGAGACUGGUGCAGACUCUGUGUAAUGUAAGGAAUGUGUUCCGGAUACUCUCCAAGUAAAAAGCAACCAGCUACCAGUUCUUUUGUGUUUUUACCCCCAUAGAGUGCCACUUUCAAUAUAAAAAUUACAGUGUGAAUCAGAAGAAACUCAUCACGGUUUAAGUGAAGGUGUUUCUCUCUUUUCAAUUAGAAACCAUAUUCUCUUUACACACAAACUGUGAGAUUUCCAAAGAUCAGUAGGAAAUCAGCAAUCCCUGGUUCUCUUGCACUCAACUAAUCACAUCCUGUCUUAGAAUAACUUUAUUAAUGGGAUCAAGGGUAAGGUAAGGUCAAAUCAUGAAGACAGACACAUCCAGGAAGGGGGGGAUUGGGUAAAGUGGUUCAUAAGGUAACAGAGGAAUUGUUCUUUAUGAUUAUAUGAACAGUUUCUUCAUGUGAAUCCUUGAAAGCAGCAAUGUUUAUUCAGAUUCUACAUUUAAUAGUUAUACAUGUAUGUAUAUGCCUGCUAUUUAUCUGUUCAUGAGCUAUCUGAAUGUAAUCAAAAGUGAAACAUGCAGGCUUUUCUUUUUGUGUCUUCCAAAAAAAUGUCUUGAAAAAAAUACAAUCUAAAAUGCAUUUACCAGGUAAAAUAAUGAUAGUUCAAUUUCAAAAAUGUAUACUGAUCAAAUAUCUAAACCUGACUAAAUUAUUCAAUGUUCACAGUUUGUAAGCUUGACAAUUUUGUAUACCCAUAAUUAAGUAAGAUCUACUUCAUAUUUCAAGUUCAAACAGAUCAUCUCUCUAAAAUUUGAAAUGCAAAUUCAGCAAAAUGCACUCCAUCCUAAAGGAAAUUUCAUCAUGCUAUAUUUUAACUGCCAAAAUCCACAUGGUAAUGAUCAAUUAAGUUAUUGAAUCAAAGUAAAUUCAGCUCACUCAAGGGAAAAGAAUGCUAGUGUGUUUCAUUGUAUGUUUCAAAAGAUGCACUGGUAUAUAAAUUUUUUAAAACAUUACAUAAAAAUUAAAGAACUUGGAAUUGCAUGCAUUGCAAUUUCUAUAUAUACAUGAGGUCUUUGCUGUCAACUUUUUGGAGUUUAUCAAUUAGUAAUUGAAUGGUCAUUCAUAGUUUCUGGAUUUGAAGAAGACGGGGAAAGUGGGACAGCCAUGUUAACGGCAUUGUGUUUAGGGUCAGAUUUCCUGUCAACUAGGUGUCAGUGACCUCUCCUAACAAUGUAGGGGAGGGAGGAGAAAGAAAAAAAAAAGGAGUCUACCUCAGCAGAAUAUGACUGAUUCAAUCCGGUCAGAGCACCCAAAGCUUACAAAUGGCCGUCGUUUGUUCCCCAUGAUUUUGGUGUGUACAUAGGCACAAAAUGCCCAUGAAAUUCAAUAUUUGCUUGACUGUUUAUCUCACUUUCAAUUAUUGAAUGAUAAUUAUAGAGUGCUGAAUGAAGGCCUUAAUCCGAAGAAAAUUGCUACAUGGGGUGUUUAAAUUGGUGAUCUUUACCCAUUCCUUUGUGUACACAAGUGCAGACCGAUUGGUUACAAGUAAAUGAUGUGAUAUGUGUAUAAAUGUGCUUUGGGAGCCAUCACCAAAAGAUACAUUGCAAUAAAAGCCAUGAUGACUGUUGGACACUGUACAAAGAUAUUGCUGGAGACUUGUGGGAGAUAUCAGUGAUAUAUACAAGAAGGGUGUUACAGAAGAACAGCAUUCAGUUGUGAGAACGUUCAGUAGAUUUGAUAAUUACUGAACUUCCAAUGUGGAGAAAUGGUGAUGUAGAAUGGAAUCAGCCCCAACAUGUAUCUUCCUCAUUCUAGUGAUUAUCAACUACAAUUAAGAAUGCCACUUGUUCUUUAGUGAGGGCCUGCCAAUUUCUCCUAUCCCAGGAAGAUAGUGUGGAGCCAUAGAAAAGAUAAACUGACCACCCUGAUAUCUACAUGCAGGAGGAGGAAAAUAGCGAGGGAGGGUGCUCUGUCAGCUCAUCAAAAUUAUCACUUUUGCCAGAGUCUAACUCCAGAAUUGUUGAAAGAGGCUGUUGUUGAUAAAAAGAAAUGCAGCAAGGAUUUUUACAUGUGUCAAUUUGAAAGCAUUCAUUUUGACCCAGCACAUAUUUUCUGUUCAUUUUUUCCAUUUUUUGUGAUCAAAGAUAAUUACAUGCUUUUGGGUAAUUUUAAUGAUUUUUUUAAAUGUUAAGAAAAUUAACUAUUUAUAAUGUUCUA
Long non-coding RNA from Magallana angulata, 2314 nucleotides. RefSeq lists it as uncharacterized. The record is from RefSeq and is a predicted model, not a curated record. The transcript is spliced from 4 exons. Lineage: Eukaryota; Metazoa; Mollusca; Bivalvia; Ostreida; Ostreidae.